CUUGAAAUACCACCCUUUAAUGUUUGAUGUUCUAACGUUGACCCGUAAUCCGGGUUGCGGACAGUGUCUGGUGGGUAGUUUGACUGGGGCGGUCUCCUCCUAAAGAGUAACGGAGGAGCACGAAGGUUGGCUAAUCCUGGUCGGACAUCAGGAGGUUAGUGCAAUGGCAUAAGCCAGCUUGACUGCGAGCGUGACGGCGCGAGCAGGUGCGAAAGCAGGUCAUAGUGAUCCGGUGGUUCUGAAUGGAAGGGCCAUCGCUCAACGGAUAAAAGGUACUCCGGGGAUAACAGGCUGAUACCGCCCAAGAGUUCAUAUCGACGGCGGUGUUUGGCACCUCGAUGUCGGCUCAUCACAUCCUGGGGCUGAAGUAGGUCCCAAGGGUAUGGCUGUUCGCCAUUUAAAGUGGUACGCGAGCUGGGUUUAGAACGUCGUGAGACAGUUCGGUCCCUAUCUGCCGUGGGCGCUGGAGAACUGAGGGGGGCUGCUCCUAGUACGAGAGGACCGGAGUGGACGCAUCACUGGUGUUCGGGUUGUCAUGCCAAUGGCACUGCCCGGUAGCUAAAUGCGGAAGAGAUAAGUGCUGAAAGCAUCUAAGCACGAAACUUGCCCCGAGAUGAGUUCUCCCUGACCCUUUAAGGGUCCUGAAGGAACGUUGAAGACGACGACGUUGAUAGGCCGGGUGUGUAAGCGCAGCGAUGCGUUGAGCUAACCGGUACUAAUGAACCGUGAGG
This 731-nucleotide ribosomal RNA is filed under the name Escherichia coli. RNAcentral describes it as "partial 23S ribosomal RNA". It matches the Rfam family "Bacterial large subunit ribosomal RNA", at positions 2191 to 2916 of the family's 2925-position model. The record is from RNAcentral. Lineage: Bacteria; Pseudomonadati; Pseudomonadota; Gammaproteobacteria; Enterobacterales; Enterobacteriaceae.